GGUUUCAUGGUGUAGUGGUUAGCACUCCAGACUUUGAAUCUGGCGACUUGGGUUCGAAUCCCGGUGAGACCU
Molecule: transfer RNA, 72 nt
Filed under: Leersia perrieri
Lineage: Eukaryota; Viridiplantae; Streptophyta; Magnoliopsida; Poales; Poaceae
Description: tRNA tRNA-Gln
Rfam family: tRNA
About the family: Transfer RNA (tRNA) molecules are approximately 80 nucleotides in length. Their secondary structure includes four short double-helical elements and three loops (D, anti-codon, and T loops).
Source: Rfam by way of RNAcentral